RNAcentral lists this ribosomal RNA (350 nucleotides) under uncultured Halomonas sp. RNAcentral describes it as "bacterial SSU rRNA". It matches the Rfam family "Bacterial small subunit ribosomal RNA", at positions 790 to 1140 of the family's 1533-position model. The record is from RNAcentral. Lineage: Bacteria; Pseudomonadati; Pseudomonadota; Gammaproteobacteria; Oceanospirillales; Halomonadaceae.
GUAGUCCACGCCGUAAACGAUGUCGACUAGCCGUUGGGCUCCUUGAGAGCUUUGUGGCGCAGUUAACGCGAUAAGUCGACCGCCUGGGGAGUACGGCCGCAAGGUUAAAACUCAAAUGAAUUGACGGGGGCCCGCACAAGCGGUGGAGCAUGUGGUUUAAUUCGAUGCAACGCGAAGAACCUUACCUACCCUUGACAUCGAGAGAACUUUCCAGAGAUGGAUUGGUGCCUUCGGGAACUCUCAGACAGGUGCUGCAUGGCUGUCGUCAGCUCGUGUUGUGAAAUGUUGGGUUAAGUCCCGUAACGAGCGCAACCCUUGUCCCUAUUUGCCAGCGAUUCGGUCGGGAACUC